This 327-nucleotide unclassified non-coding RNA is filed under the name Hevea brasiliensis (rubber tree). The record is from RNAcentral. Lineage: Eukaryota; Viridiplantae; Streptophyta; Magnoliopsida; Malpighiales; Euphorbiaceae.
GCUGCAAACGCCGAAGAGAAGGCUUCUGCAACCGCUCCCGCUUAUCCUUCCAGUAAUUAUAAAUAGACUGGAAUACUCCAUAUUUAAUGGAUAAAGAUUGCAAGGCCUCAACAGCAGCAUCAAAACUUAGAAGCACAGGAACUGGCGAUCCAAGCGUAUUUGCUAUAACUCCUGCUCUUUCUCGGGCCUUGUGAUCUAAAACUUCUAGUUUAUACAAAAUUGCCUCCAACUUUUCAGCUGCAAGAACUUUUCUUUCUCUGUUGAACUCUUGAAGCCAAUCUUCAUCCUCAUUGUCAAGAUCAUACUCAACAAAUUCUCCAAUCUCAG